GAUGAACGCAGGCGGUGUGCCUAAUACAUGCAAGUCGAGCGCACUGGCCCAAAUGAUAUGACGUUCUUGCACUGAUUUGACGAUGGAUCACCAGUGAGCGGCGGACGGGUGAGUAACACGUGGGCAACCUGCCCUGGAGCGGGGGAUAACAUCUGGAAACAGGUGCUAAUACCGCAUGACUACUAAAACCACCUGGUUUUAGUAUAAAAGAAGGCUUCGGCUUUCACUCUAGGAUGGGCCCGCGGUGCAUUAGCUAGUUGGUAAGGUAACGGCUUACCAAGGCGAUGAUGCAUAGCCGAGUUGAGAGACUGAUCGGCCACAAUGGAACUGAGACACGGUCCAUACUCCUACGGGAGGCAGCAGUAGGGAAUCUUCCACAAUGGGCGCAAGCCUGAUGGAGCAACACCGCGUGAGUGAAGAAGGGUUUCGGCUCGUAAAGCUCUGUUGUUGAAGAAGAACGUGCGUGAGAGUAACUGUUCACGCAGUGACGGUAUUCAACCAGAAAGUCACGGCUAACUACGUGCCAGCAGCCGCGGUAAUACGUAGGUGGCAAGCGUUAUCCGGAUUUAUUGGGCGUAAAGCGAGCGCAGGCGGUUGCUUAGGUCUGAUGUGAAAGCCUUCGGCUUAACCGAAGAAGUGCAUCGGAAACCGGGCGACUUGAGUGCAGAAGAGGACAGUGGAACUCCAUGUGUAGCGGUGGAAUGCGUAGAUAUAUGGAAGAACACCAGUGGCGAAGGCGGCUGUCUGGUCUGCAACUGACGCUGAGGCUCGAAAGCAUGGGUAGCGAACAGG
Molecule: ribosomal RNA, 792 nt
Filed under: uncultured Lactobacillus sp.
Lineage: Bacteria; Bacillati; Bacillota; Bacilli; Lactobacillales; Lactobacillaceae
Description: bacterial SSU rRNA
Rfam family: Bacterial small subunit ribosomal RNA
Source: RNAcentral